Molecule: ribosomal RNA, 460 nt
Filed under: uncultured bacterium
Lineage: Bacteria
Description: partial 16S ribosomal RNA
Rfam family: Bacterial small subunit ribosomal RNA
Source: RNAcentral
CCUACGGGCGGCUGCAGUGAGGAAUAUUGGUCAAUGGACGAGAGUCUGAACCAGCCAAGUAGCGUGAAGGAUGACUGCCCUAUGGGUUGUAAACUUCUUUUAUAAAGGAAUAAAACGAGGCACGUGUGCCUUUGUGCAUGGACUUUAUGAAUAAGGAACGGCUAACUCCGUGCCAGCAGCCGUGGUAAUACGGGGGCUCCGAGCGUUAUCCGGCUUUAUUGGGGUUAAAGGGAGCGUAGAUGGGUUGUUCAGUCCGUUGGGAAAGUUUGCGGCUCCACCGUAAAAUUGCAAUUGAUACUGGCAUUCUUGAGUACAGUUGAGGUAGGCGGAAUUCGUGGUGUAGCGGUGAAAUGCUUAGAUAUCACGCAGAACCCCGAUUGCGAAGGCAGCUUACUAAACUGUGACUGACAUUGAUGCUCGAAAGUGUGGGUAUCAAACAGGAUUAGAUACCCUAGUAGUC